Molecule: small RNA, 543 nt
Filed under: Pongo abelii (Sumatran orangutan)
Lineage: Eukaryota; Metazoa; Chordata; Mammalia; Primates; Hominidae
Description: processed transcript
Source: RNAcentral
GACCUUUGAAACAGUCAGCAAUAGUCCCGAACCUCAGAAGGCUGUAGAACAGGAGGAUGAGCUUUCUGAUGUUAGCCAAGGCGGAUCUAAAGCUACCACUCCAGCAUCAACAGCUAAUUCAGAUGUGGCAACAAUUCCUACUGAUACUCCCUUAAAGGAAGAAAACGAAGGAUUUGUGAAGGUUACAGAUGCGCCAAAUAAGUCAGAGAUAAGCAAACACAUUGAAGUACAGGUAGCCCAGGAAACUAGAAAUGUAUCUACUGGCUCUGCUGAAAAUGAAGAAAAGUCAGAAGUUCAAGCAAUCAUCGAAUCUACUCCUGAGCUGGAUAUGGACAAAGAUCUCAGUGGAUAUAAAGGUUCAAGCACUCCCACCAAAGGCAUAGAGAACAAAGCUUUUGAUCGCAAUACAGAAUCUCUCUUUGAAGAACUGUCUUCUGCUGGCUCAGGCCUAAUAGGAGAUGUGGAUGAAGGAGCAGAUUUACUAGGAAUGGGUCGGGAAGUUGAGAAUCUUAUAUUAGAAAAUACACAACUGUUGGAAACCAA